RNAcentral lists this ribosomal RNA (253 nucleotides) under uncultured bacterium. RNAcentral describes it as "partial 16S ribosomal RNA". It matches the Rfam family "Bacterial small subunit ribosomal RNA", at positions 524 to 776 of the family's 1533-position model. The record is from RNAcentral.
UACAGAGGUGGCAAGCGUUGUUCGGAAUUACUGGGCGUAAAGGGCGCGUAGGCGGUCUGUUAAGUCCUGUGUGAAAUCCCUCGGCUCAACUGAGGAACUGCACGGGAGACUGUCGGGCUUGAGUUCGGGAGAGGGAAGCGGAAUUCCGGGUGUAGCGGUGAAAUGCGUAGAUAUUAGGAAGAACACCAGUGGCGAAGGCGGCUCACUGGUCCGGUACUGACGCUGAGGUGCGAAAGCGUGGGGAGCAAACAGG